Molecule: ribosomal RNA, 1270 nt
Filed under: uncultured bacterium
Lineage: Bacteria
Description: partial 16S ribosomal RNA
Rfam family: Bacterial small subunit ribosomal RNA
Source: RNAcentral
AUUCGAGUGGCGGACGGGUGAGUAACGCGUGAGCAAUCUGUCCCACAGAGGGGGAUAACAACUGGAAACAGUUGCUAAUACCGCAUAAGACCACACUGUCGCAUGACAGAGAGGUCAAAGGAGCAAUCCGCUGUGGGGUGAGCUCGCGUCCGAUUAGUUCGUUGGUGAGGUAACGGCCCACCAAGACAGCGAUCGGUAGCCGACCUGAGAGGGUGAUCGGCCACAUUGGGACUGAGACACGGCCCAGACUCCUACGGGAGGCAGCAGUGGGGAAUAUUGGGCAAUGGGCGAAAGCCUGACCCAGCAACGCCGCGUGAGGGAAGAAGGUUUUCGGAUUGUAAACCUCUGUCCUAAGGGACGAAGGAAGUGACGGUACCUUAGGAGGAAGCCCCGGCUAACUACGUGCCAGCAGCCGCGGUAAUACGUAGGGGGCGAGCGUUGUCCGGAAUGACUGGGCGUAAAGGGCGUGUAGGCGGCAGUAUAAGUCCGGAGUGAAAGUCCUGCUUUCAAGGUGGGAAUUGCUUUGGAGACUGUACAGCUUGAGUGCGGAAGAGGUAAGUGGAAUUCCCAGUGUAGCGGUGAAAUGCGUAGAGAUUGGGAGAGAACACCAGUGGCGAAGGCGACUUACUGGGCCGUAACUGACGCUGAGGCUCGAAAGCAUGGGUAGCAAACAAAAUUAGAUACCCUGGUAGUCCAUGCCGUAAACGAUGAUUACUGGGUGUUGGAGGAUUGCCCCCUUCAGUGCCGCAGUUAACACAAUAAGUAAUCCACCUGGGGAGUACGACCGCAAGGUUGAAACUCAAAGGAAUUGACGGGGGCCCGCACAAGCAGUGGAGUAUGUGGUUUAAUUCGAAGCAACGCGAAGAACCUUACCAGGUCUUGACAUCCGAUGCAUAGUGCAGAGAUGCAUGAAGUCCUUCGGGACAUCGAGACAGGUGGUGCAUGGUUGUCGUCAGCUCGUGUCGUGAGAUGUUGGGUUAAGUCCCGCAACGAGCGCAACCCCUAUUGUUAGUUGCUACGCAAGAGCACUCUAGCGAGACUGCCGUUGACAAAACGGAGGAAGGCGGGGACGACGUCAAAUCAUCAUGCCCCUUAUGUCCCGGGCUACACACGUAAUACAAUGGCGGUCAACAGAGGGAAGCAAAACCGCGAGGCAGAGCAAACCCCUAAAAGCCGUCUCAGUUCGGAUUGCAGGCUGCAACCCGCCUGCAUGAAGAUGGAAUUGCUAGUAAUCGAAGAUCAGAAUGCCGCGGUGAAUACGUUCCCGGGC